Molecule: long non-coding RNA, 1043 nt
Organism: Erigeron canadensis
Lineage: Eukaryota; Viridiplantae; Streptophyta; Magnoliopsida; Asterales; Asteraceae
Exons: 3
Source: RefSeq, a predicted model, not a curated record
AUAGUAUUCGUCAAGGAACAUGAAAUAAUUUGUUAAUAAUACAUUGAUUCUCGUUCAUGAGAUCAACCUGCUUGUAUCCUGCCUUCUUUUUGCCUUCACGUUGUUGCCUCUCUAUAGCUGCCAUUUUCAGAGCUUCUUCGUCUUCCUCAGCAUGACUGCUGCUUCUACUAUGAUUUGCAGUCACAAACACUUCUUCAAAGCUCCAACUCUGGCUUCUAAUUGAGUUCCCGCUUGGUGUUCUUCUCCUUCCCUUUCCACAACUCUUUACUUUCUCUAUCUCCAUUGUUUUUUAAGAUUAAGCCUGCAUAGAAUGUUCGGUAUCUAGUUAUAUUUUGGUAAAAGAGAUGGGCCAAUUCAUGUUAUGUGAAAAGUAAGAGAAGCAGAGCUUUUGGAAAUUUCAGAUAUUUUGUCUACUUGAGUUUUUUCUAGCUAGUAUAUAUUUGCAGCUUUGAACUUUAGUGAAUGAGUUGUUUGGUUGCAGUGUCUACAUGUAGCUAUCUAAAGUUCUGUUUUGCCGGCUUUAAAUUAUUAUAGAACGUGAAACUAUGCACUGCUUUUGUAACAGAUUUCGGUUAAUAUGGUUAAAGGAUUCUACGUGUUAGACCGUCGGGUCAGAUUGGUUGACCACCAAACUUUUGGUUAUUUUUUUCCUUAAAUAUAUCAAUCCUGUAUAAUUUAUUUAUCUUGUCAUCAAAAAUAGUAACAACGUGGAUGGGCGAGACAUGUUAAGUGACAGGUAGCAUCUAUAUGUUGCUCAUAAUAGAUCAUUUUCGCUUGGCUUCACCUGGAAACUGGAGCGAGGAGGAUGCAUUUAACUACACUUGAGUUAACCUAUAUUUGACCCAUUAGCAGUGUGAUACUAUUCGCUUCCCAUGCUUUCACACGUCGAGGCAUGGAGCCACGUGGAGUUGAAGGUUGGCCAUGACCCCCCACAAUCUCUAUAAAACUCUAUUUAACUAUUUUUAUCUAUAUGUUUUGUCCAAAGUCAAAUUUUUAUUCGGCUCCCCUAGACAUCUGUUUCUGACCAUAAGUGUUAACCUAUA